Molecule: long non-coding RNA, 9429 nt
Organism: Canis lupus familiaris (dog)
Lineage: Eukaryota; Metazoa; Chordata; Mammalia; Carnivora; Canidae
Exons: 4
Source: RefSeq, a predicted model, not a curated record
AAGUGACAAAGAUUUGAAACUGGACUUAUAUGACUCCAAAAAAUGUUUUCUUCGCCUUGGCCUGGGUCUUGGCUAUGUAAAUUAAGUAACAAAAACAGUGUAAUCUGUUUACAAGUCUGAAUUCAGUGGAGUACAAGGCUGGGAAGGCCUUACUUGUUUUUCAUUCACCAUCUGAAACACUGUCUGCCAAUUUACUCCAUUCUUGUUCUCUAUCAACAUUUUAAGAGGAUUCCACUGCUGUUUAGGCCUUUCCAGUCAGGACAAAGCCAAGCCUGUGUAAGUCUCAGAUUCCAAUCUCAUUUCUUUCCCCUUCUCCAGCUCAGACCCAACAACCUAAGCCAGGUGACCAGCAGUAAAGAAGAGCAUGGUGUUCUCAUUUAAUCUUCUUUCCCUACCUCUUUCACAGACGUUUCAGUCAGGGAGCAGAGAAAUGGUGAAGGUCAAGUGAUCAUUAACUGCUAACGCUGGAAUCGUCUUUGACAGUUGCUGUGUCUCUAGGUAACCCUGAUCCACUAUCGAUGCUGGCAGUAAGGCCAGCAUCCACCAGUAGGCUGGAUUUUGGGAAAUGAAGGACAAAGGGGAAGCAAAGUUAAGGUUUGGAUGACAGAGAAGAUGGCAUUAUGUAAAUGGGCAAGCUGGAAGAAAGCUGGUUCAGAAGAGGCAUAAUCCAUGGUGGAAGCUUCUACAUGAUAACUUAAAUUGGAAGGACAGUUAGCUUUUGCUCUGUGGAACAGGUGUAUGCCAGCUGUUGGUUAUAAAAUGAACCCAAUUGUUUCUUUUAACUGCUAUUAUAAAAUCAAGGAUGUAUCCCCCCAAGGAAAAAAGAACAUUCUCGGUAGACUCAAUUAAAAACGUUUGGUGAAAAUGUAGUUGAAAUGAUGGCCAGCUUCCUAGUCUCUGUGGGAUUGUAAUCCCAGUUAGUGGUUCACUUCUCUGCUGUGAUUUUUUGACUCCUGGUCUCCCCUAGGCUGUCAAUCCCAAUCCUGCUCCCUUUGGGAUAGAGUGUAGUGUGGUGUCUGUUAUUGGAAAAAUGACUGCACAAUCCUAAAGCACCCAGAGUUUUCUGGCUGGCCUAUAGAUGUCACAUUUGCACUCAGGUUUUACAUGCUUACUCCACUGCCAUUUCUUACCUUUGGAACAUCUCUAAAACUAAAACGACCCUAUUGGGAGCACCCAUGAGGGUAAUUGUGACCCGUAUCCCUUUAUCUUUACAUGAACAAAACUCCUCCAAGAAAAUGAUCUAUAGACAUGGCAUCUUAUAUUUCAUCAGACUCUUAGUCGUAUAGAUCUGACAUUCUCUGUGUCUGUAUAACAUUUAUUAGUCUGUCUAUUAUGAGAGAGCUCUCUUGAACUAGUUAUAAGAAAACCCAAUUUGGCAAAUGGUAAGUUAUAUCCCUACCUCUGCCACCUGAGCGAUUUGAUCUCGGGCACCACAGGAAGUUGCAGAGGCUUGGAAGGAGAGCAUGAACAGAAGACACCAGGAGAUCGAAGAACUUAGGAACACCUUGGGAAAGAGAAGAGGCAUAAGGGGGGAGGAAAGGGCUACUGGCAAAGAUGAAAUUACUUUAGAAAUAUUUCUGCACUGGUUUCUAUGCGGGAAACCUAUAAUACCAAUCCCAUUGAAAAGACUGGGUCAAUAGAGUUACCUCCUGAACUCUCAAUUUAUAGCACCAACAUUUUCUCUAACUUUGUUACAGCUGAAGGCAGGAGUCAUGUUGAUACAAAACACUAUUACAGCUCUUCUUGAAAAGAAGAAAAAGAUUUUCACAAAUGCUUCCCUUCUCAUUUAUUGUCACUACCAUUUUUCCCCAGACUACUCUCAUUCUCGGCCCACGUAGGAAAUCAGAAGAUAAUUUAAAAUUAAAUGAUGAUGGCUCAGAGCUUAAAGCACUUAAAAAGAGAGAAGGAAAAAAACGCAUCACAUCUUGACAGGGCUGGGAAUGAGGGCUGGAAGAUUGCCAAGGAAGCCCAGAGGAGCUGUUGACAAGUGGGCCUGUGGUACUUUGUGUGACCAGAGAGGACCUGUAAGAUAUUCUCCUUGCCCUGGGAUGGUGUUUGAAGUCAUGAAAACCUAGGAGAGAGUUGAAAAGAAUGGAAAGCAGCCAGAAAAUGAUUUAAGAGUAUUUAUUUCAUGGAGUUUUUAUGAGAGUGAAAUAAAGCUCAGAUCUUAAGUGUAGAUGUGAUAGCAGCCAUCGUGGAGAAAUGAUCAUGCGACUGAACCUUUCUGCUGUGAAGAACUGUAGAACUGGACAAAAUGUAUGAAUAAACUGUUUUCACACGUUGGACAACAGAUAGCACAGGGCUGUGAUGCUUGAGAUAAGGAAAACACCAUAUUUCACUACAGCUUUCUGCCUGGGACCACCAUCCAAACUUCAGCUGAAGAGUCUCCACUACUAGCAUGGGGCUCAAACUCACAACCCUGAGAUCAAGAGCUCCACAGGCGCACCUUGCUGUUCUUUCUGAUGACAUUUGAAGUUCAGGGCAGCCAAAGCCAUUUUAGGAUGGUGAGAGACGUGUCGCCAGCACAUCUGAAACCUGUCUCUGGUGGACAGGGAACUAUAUGAUUCACACUUGAAGUUCUCUGGUGUUCGAAAGGGAUGAAACCACUUUGACUUCAGGAGGACCGGAGGUGCUAGUUGCUGCUUGGCAUUUUGACUGUGUUUUUCGAGACGAAUAUGUAUGUAUAACUGCCUGGGGAGAAAGCACAUACAGCAGAACCUGAAGCGAAUAACACAGGGUGAUAUAUCACCCCUUACCAUUAGUCAUAUCAUAUGCAAUGUAAACAGAGUGGAGCAGUUUGCUACUUUCCUGGGUUCCAUUAUGUGUAUGUGUUUAUUUAAUCAGGACUAAAUGAUAUUACGUGAAGUUCCCCUUGCCCUCCUGAGGAAUCCAGAUUCAACACUUUCAGCGCUGUUCAGUGCUGGAGAGCGAGGAAAGUGUAACCAUAGUGAUGGAAUGGAAAUGAUUUUCUUUGUUCAGAGGCUUCAAUAUCCAACAGACAUUACAGUUUUCAAGGUCAAAAAUAUAUUAGGAUGAGAUAAAAAUUAAAGAAAAAUGUGCUGGCUUAGCUACAAAAGCUAAUUUAGUUUAUGCAUUAUAAAUUAUGUUAAAAUGACUAAAAUGAGAUUUCUCAGCAAGAACUAAAUGUGUGGUUUCACAAAACUAAUUUCCAAAGAUGAACAUGAUUACAGAAUUUAGCUUUAAAAGCUUUUCAGGCCAUCAGAAAAAACAGCAAAGCUAUCAAUUAUCAGACUUUAGUGGUGCCUCUGUCAGAAAUAUAAUGGUAUUUUUAGCAUUCUGCUCAGCGUUUACUAAAUUAAGAAUGUCUACAAACAAAUCAAUUAAUUGGGACAUUAUUUAAUUAAGUAAAACAUGUGAUCUGCCAAAGAACCUUAAGCAGACGAUUAUAACAAACAUCCCAGUAGCCUUCUUCUAUUGAGGGAGAUAGCAGGCCAGCAGUAAAAAGAUGGAAACUACAGGAAAUGAAAUGUUGAUCAAACAAGCAAACACAGCCUCAUGCUUUUCUGAUUCAUACUGCAUACUUAUGUAAUUUUAAAAAGUGCUUGUUUUGAAAAUCUGUGAUUUCCUGGGAGAAGGUCAGUGCUAUCUGUCAGGCAUUCCAGUGCUGUUAGGUGGAUGUGUGACAUUUGUUAGGUGGAUUUUUUUUUUUUUGUAACAAUGCAUAUAUAAACACAAAAGAAUCUGUAUUCUCAUGCAUGGCAUACUUAAGUCCCUGGGUGCCAGGAAGUUACUGGGUUCCUGUUUUUUGCUUUCCAUAAACAGUUCAGAUCCAGUGAAAGUUUAUUUUGGAUUCCACUAUAAACCAUCCCAUUCUGCUUUCCACCAAACCAUCCCAUUCUGCCCUUCAACAGUCCUUGUGAGUUAGGUAUCAAGACCCCUAGUUUUAAAAGGGAGACUGAGGUUCAAGGAAGCUGAGUACUUUCCCUCUACUCCUAGACCUGGUAGUUUCAGAGCUAGGGUUAGAUCCAAAGCACGUGAGACCAAGUCCCAAACACUUCCCAUUAUUGCAGUGUGGACUAGCCUGGGUUUAAAGGCGGUUGCACAAUACAAUACCUUGGUGGCCAACAGAGUCCUUGAAAUAACAUUGUCUCAAGAGAGAGUUAAGCAGUCAUUUGGCCAGGGAAGUAGAGAGUUGAGUCGAGGACUACUGCUUGGACAUGUCAAAAUAUCUAAUAAUGGUCCAAUCCUGGGGGCCACAUGGAAAAAAGAAGACUGCCUAUUCACCUACACACAACCCAGAGUAGCGUUCUAUCCUUAUUUGGAGUAAUUGCAAGUACAGGCCAAGAGGAAGUUAAAUGAAGUGAGAUGGAGAGCAGGGACGUGAUAAUGGGAGCAGGUAUUUAGUAGCAAUGUUGUGACCUGUUAGAAACUUUAAAAUCGAAUUCCUCCCUUUUUGUUAGUGAACAAAAUGUAUUCUUGCACACAUCAGAAUAAUGAGCUUGUGUAUUGGGGAAUAGCUCAUGAGCUCUAUCAAGCAUCCUUGAAAUAAUUUUCAGAAGUCACUUGAUCUGAGCCGUUAUUAUUGGUCCUCCCCAGGUGACUGUCACCAUUCUGGCCAGUUGGUCUUCUAGAGCCCUUUGUUCUUUUUCUGUUCCCUUUCCUCCUCUCAGAUCCAGGUGUGUCCCUGCUACGAUUAUGCAUCUGAGCUUUCUUAUCCUGCUGGGCUUAUCUUUCUGAACAUUUCUCAAACAAGACAUGAAUGCAAGUCUGCAAAUCAUGGACACCUGAUAAUCUGCAAAUGAUCAAGAAACCAUGAGAACAUGAAAGUACUUUCAAAUUCUUGUCUCCCUAAAUAUUAAUUUUUAAGUCAAAGCUUUGUUAGUUAUUAUUCUCCACAUUUUUAUUACUAAGUAAUAGAUUCAACUUUUAAUGAAAUGCCAUGUGGGAAAUUUGUAAUUUUUCCACUCAAUUCUAAAAAUCAAAGAACUUACUGUGUUCAUCAUCAAACUAGAGAGAAAAAUGUCUUAUUACUUGACCCAUAUCUGAUGACCAAGGUGGGUGCUGGCUGUGCUAGCUGGAGCUGCAGGAAGGGACACUUUAUUUAUUUAAUAAGUAAAAGUUAAUUUAUUAUCCCUUGGCUCAGGAUAGACAGUGUGUGAGCAAAAUGCUUUGCUAUAAUUAGGGUAAUUUUGUAUGCAAUGGGGAGAAGCAACCCCUUAAAUAUCAGUGUGGGAUUCAAUAGCAAAAUAUGUCUAGACAUAUGAGGCCUUCCACACUGAAAGAAGUUAUUGAAAAAUGAUUCAUUUUUACAUCCUCCACCUGCUGCCUGAUUCUUCAUAAUAUUGAUUUGUGAGAGAAGGAACUUUCCCAAAUGAUAGUACAGAGAUGGGUUGCUAAAAAGAUACAUAAUUUUAAACACUCAGCCUUAUUGAGCAUCAACUAUGUGUUAGAGGCUGUUUAGAAAAAUCAGAGUAACUGUCUUUAUCUUAAUUCCAUUUUCAUAAAAAUUUUCCUUUGUCAUUCAUAUUACUCAGUGUUUAGAAUCACUUAAACAUGGGUGAUAUUUGAUCUUUUCAGAGCAGGAAAUUAUGACUUAGCAAUAUGCUUUUCAUGUAAGGAUAGUUAUUUAUUAUUAUAAAAUUAAAGUUGUUUUUCUCUGUUAUCUCACUAAUCUGGAUACUUUAGAGUCAGUGUGUUAGACAUUCUCCUGCAUCCAUUGUUUUGUUACCUGUAAUUACAAGAAUAGGUCAAACAGUGCCGAACCAAAUACUUUAUUUUUCUCACACAUCGAGGAGUCACAAUGUAGGUGACUGCUCUUCUUUGAGCAGCUUGAUGUCAGGGGCAGCGUCUUUGUGAUUUUCUUUACCUUUUCCUGAGAGUCUCAAUAUGGUUGCUGCUGCUCCAGACAUCAUGCAUAUAUUCGUGUAGGAUGUAGAAGGGCAGGUAUGGUGCUAGAGGUUUACACUUCUUUUAUCAUACAGCAGAGCUUUCCAGAUACUCCAGCAAACUUCAACCUGUGAAUCACUUGGCUAAAACCCAGGUAUCUGGCCAUUCCUGGUUUCAAGGAAUCAGAGACAGUGAGUGAGGUGCUUGGGAAUGGGUCUCAGGUUAUGUAUUCAGCAGUGCCUGACACCUCUUGCAACCACAUUUAUAUUUUAAUGACUAGGAUUGAUGCUGUGGCUGAGUGAAAUAAGCAAUAACUUGAGGCUUUAUUGUAUAGGAAAAGAAAAUGGACUUAAAAUCAUACCAUCUGGGUUUAAAUCUCAACUCUGUAGUUCCCGUGUAAUGAUCCUAAUCAGGCUACUUACUUCUACAAGCAUCAAUUUCCUCGUCUCUAAAGGGAGAUAAGAAUUCCUCUCUGGAGGUGUGCUGAAAAUCAAAUGAAUAAGAUGUCUUAUUAGAGUAUCAAGUACAGAUUUGAAUAGAUAGAAAUUCACAAGUUCAUUUGCUCAUUAUCUCUUUCAUUCAUAUAUUCAGUUGGCCAAAAUAAACUUUGCUUAGGAGGAGCAGUCCGGAAGAGGUCACCACUGGUCAGGUUUGCAUCUGUGAGGCCAAAGAUGCAAUAGUUGCUCAUUUCAGAGGCUUGUUCGUGAGGAGGUAUGUGUGUGCACACGUGUGUGUGUGUGUAUGCAUGCCUGUGCAUGUGUGUGUGUGUGUGUGUGUGUGGUUGCUCCAGCCUGUAGAUGGCAAUGAGGCAGGGAAGGACAGAGGAAGGAAAUGAACUUGUACUGACCACCUCCUACAUGCCUCUCUUAACCUCACAUUGUUCUUACCUGAUGAAGCAGACAUUUCUUUUCUCCGAUGUUAAAACAGGCUACUGAGCUACAAGCAGAAUGGCUUUGACCUCUCAUAUUUCUAAGCUGUACAUAUUACACAGUUUUUCCAUCUUAUUCUGUCUUUUAUUUCCCUGGGAACCCAUCAUAAGUUCCUGGGGGCUGGGCAGAAACACAAAGACAGUUUUGUUAAAUACUGCUCAGGGUCACACACCAAAUCUUUUCUUAUUUUCCAUCUCCGACUGAUAUUCCACAAAUAGGUUGGUACCUAAUUAUCUCUCUUCUGAGAAGAUAUUUCUUCCCUAUCUUGAAUUCUUCCAUCCAGUUCCUAUCAGGGAGAAAAGAUAGCCAUUACUUAAGACUGAUUUGGAAUCUGAGUUUCAGGAACUAUUGUCUGCUUCUUCCAGUGUUGGUUCUUCUCUGGAGUUCACUGCACCAUCUUGGCUGCUCUGCCCAGAUGUAGCCGACAUGGCAUAUCCACAUUUACUAUGGGUUUAUUCCCUAGACCUGUGAUCUGGAAGCCUUGCCACAUACAGGUUAAAUAACACUGUCAUGGGCAGUAAUUUCUAAAUAUGAACAUAUGAGCGUAAAUAUGUCUUCUGGGCAAGGAAAUGCAAUCUCUUUUGUCCUUCGCCCUCACCUCUAUCCAUCUCUUUUUCCUCCAUUCUUGAUUGUCUCUUCUUUCCUUCUCCCUCUCUUUCUGCUUCAGCCUCUGCCUCUCUUCCAUAUCUAAAUAAUCUGCCGAAGAGGGGCACUCUGAGAGAUGACUAGUAAUCUGUAUGUAACCACUGAUGCAUUACAGAUUGAGUAAUGAUCCCCCCUGAAGGAUGGUACAUGGAAUCAAACCAGUCAUUGAAUUGUUGCCAGAGAUGCUCUGAUCAGCUUCUGUAAAAGAUCAAAAUAGGCAUGAUGAUUAGAGCUAAAUACUAAUUCCUGACUUUCCUCUAGAGGGAGCCGGUGGUCAGGCUAGAGAAAACCGACAGUGAGAUUGGUCAAAAACUCGUGAGAAAGCUCUAAAUGUAGGCAGCAUCACAAGACUGGGUGGAACUGAGCAACUAAUACUAAACCUGUGAAAUUAAAAGACAUCAGAAAUUCCAAGGGAAAUACCUGAAACAACUGCUGUCAACCUCAUCUAAAUGCAAUGUGCCCAUACUAGUGCUAACGUUUUGGUUUCAGUCCUGGAAACAUUCAAAAAUGUUUAUGACCUUUCAGCCACUCAUUUAUCUAUCCACUUCCCAUUAAAAUUUGCUGAGCUUACAUCAUAUACUUAAUGUUGUGCCAGGUAUUGGGUGUGCAGAACCAAAUGGUCAUUGUUCCUAAUCUUAAGGAACUCACAAUAUAAUGGAGAAAAUAAAUAUAGAAGCAGAUAGUUAUAAUUUAGUGCAAAAGUGCUACUUUGAAGAUUCGUAUAUGACAUAAUAGUAGGGAAGAAAGCAACAGGAGAUGAGCAUGAGGAAAACCAGCUUCAGGCUGACAAGGCAAGAAAGAGGGCCAUUGUAAAACUCUUGGGUCAGGGACUCCCCAUCACCCACCAUGUAACUUCUUUGUCUGGUAUACAAGGCUCACCAUUCUGUAGUUGGCUUUCAAUUCCCAUUGGUGGUUCCCAGAACACGUCUUGUUAUUUUAUAUGUUCAUGUCCUUGUAUAUACUGUUUCUCCCACUUGAUAUUGUCCCUUCUUUCAUUCUGCCCUCCUAUCUACCAGAUAUCUAGAAUGUACCAUCUUAGGAUUUUGGAUUGACUUCAUUCUUCAUUCGAUGUCAGCUUAGUUAUGGAGCUGGUCUGGAACCUUCACUUGAACAGACAGUAGUAAAAAUUUUUUGUCCUCUGGCACUAUGACCUCUCAGAAAGAACUUUUCUGACCAUUCCAUUUAAAGUGGGUACCCUCUGCUACUAGCUCAGCUUCUUCUUUUUCCCCCAUAGGAGCCUAGCUAAUGUUUUAUUAUGAUUUAUCUCCUUCUCCACAUACCCCUACUACCCUCUGGUUGGUAGUCUUCAUGAUGGCAGGCAGAUAUCCUAUUGUGUACUCCUGCCACUCCAGCUCCUAGCACAGUGCUGGAUACCUAGACGUCAAUAAACAUAAGUUUAUUGUAAGUUAAUGCUCCUGUAUAAGACACACCCAUUAGUAACAUUUACCCUCAGGCCACAGUACACAUAUAAAUGUAGUAGUUUGUGAUUGGUGCAUAAUUUCCUGUGCACAAAUGUAACUCCACAUCUUUUUUCACUGAUAGAGCAGUUUGGUGUAUUGAGAUACCACAGCAACAAAUCAUUUAUAUUUAAUGUACAGUUUAUAAGGAACGGAGGGAGAGCAUAGUUCUUUAAGACCGAAUAUAUCAUUUGGGAAAGUGAAGAAUGUGACAGGCCUUGGAAAACAUGUCUGUUGAUAACUUCUUGUGGCUUACUGUUUGGAAUUUCUUGGUUAUCUGAAUUCUUCAUACAUUCUGCUUGCUCGGUCUCUCUCUCUCUCUCUCUCUCUCUCUCUCUUUCUCCUGGCAUGUGGCUCAUGGCUCAGUAGUGUAGGCAUCAUCUGAAAGCUUGUUAGAAAUGCAGACUUGGGCUCUGCCACAGUCCUGCUGAACCAGAAUCUGUAUUUUUCUUUUUUGCCACUUAUUUGCUUCUCUUUAUUAGGCCUCAGUUUCCACAUCUGUAAAAUCAGAAAGUUCCAAUAAUUCUUUUUAAAAUUUAUUUCAUUUUAUU